Myotis lucifugus (little brown bat) is the source of this 432-nucleotide non-coding RNA. NCBI's taxonomy places the organism in Eukaryota, Metazoa, Chordata, Mammalia, Chiroptera, Vespertilionidae. The record is from the annotation of a RefSeq genome assembly.
AUGGGAGUUGACCUUGAUGAAUUAGAAAGGUGUUGGGUGUUCGGCGGAGGGACCCAGCUGACCGUCCUAGGUCAGCCCAAGUCUGCACCCUCCGUGUCUCUGUUCCCGCCAUCCGCUGAGGAGCUCAACAACAACAAGGCCACACUGGUGUGUCUCAUGAGUGACUUCUACCCGGGCAGCGUGACAGUGGCCUGGAAGGCAAAUGGCACCCCCGUCACCCAGGGCGUGGAGACCACCAAGCCCUCCAAGCAGAGCAACAACAAGUACGCGGCCAGCAGCUACCUGAGCGUGUCCAGCCAAGACUGGAAGUCCGCCAGCGCCUACAGCUGCCAGGUCACGCACGAUGGGAAGACCGUGGAGAAGACAGUGGCCCCCUCGGAGUGUUCCUAGGAUCUGAGUCCCCACUUCUGGGGACACUUCUCCCUCAGACCC